GGCCCUACCAAAUCCAUGGCCCAUUUUGGUCAACUCUAUAGUCAUAGGAUUUUAAAAAUCAUAAAUUUCAGAAUUUAAGCUAUGUACAU
Molecule: non-coding RNA, 89 nt
Organism: Chelonoidis abingdonii (Abingdon island giant tortoise)
Lineage: Eukaryota; Metazoa; Chordata; Testudines; Testudinidae
Source: RefSeq, a predicted model, not a curated record